Molecule: unclassified non-coding RNA, 2475 nt
Filed under: Neodiprion pinetum (white pine sawfly)
Lineage: Eukaryota; Metazoa; Arthropoda; Insecta; Hymenoptera; Diprionidae
Description: heparan-sulfate 6-O-sulfotransferase 2, transcript variant X14
Source: RNAcentral
ACACAUAAACAUCGUUGCGAAUACACGCGUCUUCUCAUCAGGGUGCAGAAUGUGUUUGUAUAAAGUUCGGUGCCGCAUAUAAACAUGCAUAUCAGUACAGUGGUUUGAACAACGAAAUCGAUAUCUCGAGCCCUGAUAAGUCCCGUAAGUUAUCGGAUAAUAGGGGGGGGUUUGUUUCCAAUAUCCGUCCAACCACGAGGCUGGCGAAUGUGACGGGGAAUUGCGGGGAUUCGCAUCGCGUCGCAAUGGUUAAAUAAUUGUAAACAGUCCUUGCCUUAUCCACAGAGCGCUCGCAGCUCGGUGGGGGCGACGAGGAGCGCGAAGCGGACUAGCAGAGUAAGGAAUCAAAUAGUGGAGGGGGAAACGCCGUCAUGGCUGACAUGUGUGGAUUGUGUGGCCCGCAGGCGACGAAGUGAACAGGCGCGAGUGUUCCAGGUCCGUCCGCGUUGAAAACGCGCGUUUGUUAAGUGAAUAUGGAGAAAAAUGGGCCGGGGAUUGAACGUGGAAGUCGCUAGCGACCGACCGGCUGCCAGCCAGGGAGACAGAUGGGCGAAAUCUAACAGGAUGGAGCCCAGGGUGUGGAGAACUCGGCUCCGCGGCGUCGCGGGCAUCUGCCUGGUCUUGGCAUUGACGGGUAUCGUGUAUUUGGGAUACUUCUGCCCAGACCACGUUUGUGCCCUGACCAACCGUGACCUCAAGGAGUCCACGCGUCUCUCUGAGGGUUUCACAUCCGGGGUUGUCGACAGGAACUUCCAGGGUCACCCUUCCUUCAGACUUCAGAGCAUACAGGGCAGUCUCGCCUACGAGGAUGUCAUCAACAACACCUUUCAAUUCGACAUCAAUGCCCACGAUGUUAUGGUCUUUUUACACAUACAGAAAACUGGCGGUACAUUAUUUGGUAAACACCUGGUGCGCGAUUUGGACCUGCAAAGACCGUGCUCGUGUCAUAGGAGGCGAAAACGUUGCUCCUGUUUUCGUCCAAACCGGAACGAGAAUUGGUUAUUUUCCCGGUAUUCAACAGGCUGGAAGUGCGGCCUGCAUGCUGAUUGGACGGAAUUGACGAAUUGCGUUGAUUCAGAAUUAAAUAAGAUAGAACCAGAGGGAGUGAAGAGAAGAUAUUUUUACAUAACAAUCAUCAGAGAUCCGGUAGCGAGAUAUUUGUCGGAGUUCAGACAUGUGCAACGAGGUGCCACGUGGCGAGGAGCAAGACAUUGGUGCGGCGGCAUUCAGGCUAACAUACCUCAAUGUUAUUCCGAGCCAAAUUGGCAAGGAGUUACGUUAGAAGAGUUCAUGCAGUGUCCUCACAACUUGGCAAGUAAUCGUCAGACUCGGAUGCUGGCUGACCUAUCCAUCAUAGGAUGCUACAACUCGACGCUAAAUCGAACUGAGAGAGAUCGUCUCAUGCUUGAAAGUGCCCAGCGUAAUUUAUUAUCCAUGCCGUUCUUCAUGCUUACUGAGUACCAAAAGAGCAGACGGCAUCUCGGCCGUAUUACAAUGAUGACAGAUCGUAAAAUUGGACGCGCCGCCGCUUCGCUUUAUGGAGGUACAUGGAUAGGAGUACAAAAGCUCAAAUUUCAUGCCUCUCUGGAAACUGCCCUACUUUUGAAGGAACGUCUUAUCGCACCCAUCUGUAUGGAGAGUGAAUCGAUGAAACCGUCAUACGAAUCCGUCACACGAGUUCAAUGCAAUUAGAGAAUGCGCCAUGGAAAUGAUUCAGCUGGAGGGAUUGGAUGGGGAUUGGAAAUGCCUGCAACGAGGCGAUGAUCCCACAGUGGUUUUGUCGGGUCGGCUCAGAUUGAACCCUACCAACAACCAUGAAUCCGAAGAUCGUAAAGCCCGACAACGGAAUGCGAUACUAUCGCGUCAAGAUCCGCCCGAGAAACGAGCCGCGUUCCGUAUGCCGCACGUCAUGUCAGUCUCAACGCACUAAACGCUUCGAUUUCGUUCCAACAUCAACGACAAUUACUGAAAAAUGGAGAGUUAAUUUCGCGGUGGAGUUUCUCGUCUCUGUAAGCCUCGAACAAGGACGUCAACUUCACUCUAGUAUAAAUCUGCGAACUACAACCAGCAAGAUAAACAACAGUUUUCUGACUUGACGGCAGAUGCUGUAUAUCGUGCGCCAAUUUUGGAAAAUUCUGUUGGAUUGUGAAUGAGGAUUGCUGAUACCUUGUUUAAGGCAAAUGAAAUAUAUAUAUAUAAAAUUUUUUAUGCUGUGCGGUUGCGCGAAUGAAACUGUUAUAAUAUGUUAUUAAUUGGGGUGGUAAUUUUAUUCGUUUAUUCCGCAGCAAUAUUUAAUUUGCAACAAUAAUAACGUUAAAAAUGUGUGCAACAAUAAAUGAAUAUCGAUUCGUGAAUCGUUUGCUAUUAAUGACGAUUUUAUUCCUUUACUAACGACGUAACAUUAAAUUGACUUUGAGCCAGAUAAUUCGCUGUUAUAUUAUAAUGCAAUGUGAUGGAGUAUUUGAAGUGUAUUCG